This 460-nucleotide ribosomal RNA is filed under the name uncultured bacterium. Its description in RNAcentral is "partial 16S ribosomal RNA". It matches the Rfam family "Bacterial small subunit ribosomal RNA", at positions 338 to 795 of the family's 1533-position model. The record is from RNAcentral.
CCUACGGGAGGCUGCAGUGAGGAAUAUUGGUCAAUGGACGCAAGUCUGAACCAGCCAUGCCGCGUGCAGGAAGACGGCUCCAUGAGUUGUAAACUGCUUUUGUACGAUGGUAAACGCAGAUACGCGUAUCUGUCUGAAAGUAUCGUACGAAUAAGGAUCGGCUAACUCCGUGCCAGCAGCCGCGGUAAGACGGAGGAUUCAAGCGUUAUCCGGAUUUAUUGGGUUUACAGGGUGCGUAGGCGGUCGUAUAAGUUAGAGGUGAAAUCCCGAGGCUCAACUUCGGAAUAGCCUCUGAUACUGUUAGGCUAGAGAGUAGUUGAGGUAGGCGGAAUGUAUGGUGUAGCGGUGAAAUGCUUAGAGAGCAUACAGAACACCGAUUGCGAAGGCAGCUUACCAAGCUACUUCUGACGUUGAGGCACGAAAGCGUGGGGAGCAAACAGGAUUAGAUACCCCUGUAGUC